Molecule: long non-coding RNA, 10395 nt
Filed under: Gossypium barbadense (sea-island cotton)
Lineage: Eukaryota; Viridiplantae; Streptophyta; Magnoliopsida; Malvales; Malvaceae
Description: long non-coding RNA (GBAR_LNC021089)
Source: RNAcentral
AAGGGUGUUGAGGACACAGUGAAAAUAAAUAAGUUCUAUUUUAUUCUCAAGUUAACAUCUUUAUCUUUUCUUUGUCAUACCUCUUCCCUAUUUCUUUCUUUUUUUUUCUUGUCUAAUAUUUUUUUCUACUGUAAGUUGCUGCAAAUUCUUAAGUAAAAUUCAACCCAGUUCUAACAAUUAACAUAUCUACAAAGUGAUGGUUGUAACAGAAGAUGAAUCGGUCAGUGUUGCGUUGAUAGAAGAAAGUAAAGAAAGGAUUAAGAAAUUUGAAUAUGUAAGAUUUAGAUUCGUACCUCGAACAAAAAAUCAAGCAGCACACAAAAUGGCUGAAGCAAGAAAACAUUUCGACUCCCCAAUGUUUUGGAUUGAAGAAGCACCAGAAAAAGUAACAAGAAUAGUAGAUUUGGAUAGAGGGAGUAUGGGUAGAGAAGAAGUGUUAAAAUUUUCUGAGUAAAAUGAUGAGGAUAUAAUAACGAAGUGCGAUUAAAACUCAGAGUUGCAGAAGGGAAGAAUCAGAGCCAGAAUUCAAGAAAUAACUUCACCAGAAAUGAGGUAGAUCCACUCCUUUUUCAAAUGUUGAUGAAGAGACGAAAGGAGGAAAGAAUGAGGCUAAUGGCUUCUUUACUAACCGAUUUUUUUGUUUGGUUGUUAUGUUCCGCUUUUUAGGAUUUCUAGGGUUUUUCAUUUGUGUUUUUAGGAGUUGUUCUUGUAAAGAGUUUUUUAUUAAGAUUAGAGGACAAGGGCCUUAAAUGGCUUUUAUUUUAACAGACUGUAGUAGGUGGUUUAAUGAGUUUUUUCUUCUUCUAAUUAAUGUAUCAGUAGAGAUUAAGUUAAAAAAAAUUUUAAAACUCAAUUUUACUAAGUAGACUUGAAAACCCCAAUCCAGAUUUCUGUUAAACUAAAACUAAUGACACGCAAACACAUGUUAAAAAAUUUUCAAUUUCACUUAAAAAUUAUAAAAACUAAAAGAAUCAUUAAAAUCCCCAAAAAUCAUUUAAAAAUUAAAAUCCCCAAAAAAUUAAAGCUAAAAAUAUCUUAAUCUAAUUUUGAAAAUUAUAAAAAAAAUAAAUUAUAUGUAUGCAAAACUUAAAUUUUUUUUAAAAAAAAUCAUAAAAUUAAAAAAAAAAUGGUUUGCUUGGACUUUUAGGACCAUUUUACCAAUAAAGGCCUAUUUCCAAUUUUAUUUACGGAAAUGGGCCACUUUUUUCAUUAUUUACCGGAGUGGGCUGAAAACACCAAAACGCGUCCACAUAGGAGCAUUAUAUGGGGAAAUCGCUCCCUCAGGGAUGUGGGCUAUUUGCAUGUUUAGUUCCCAAGUUUUGUGGGUUUAAGGUUUUAGGGUUUUAGGGUUGUAGUGUUAGUAUUUUGUUAAAAUAAUUUAGGGUUUUAUUUAAUUAGGGUUUAAAAAUUUUAAAAAAUAAAUUAAAUUAGGUUUUAGGGGUUUUAAAUAAAUAAACUAAAUUAGGAUUUAGAGUUUUUAAUAAAAUUUAUUAAAUUAGGGUUUAUUUUUUAAAAAUAUUUUUUGUGUUUAGCUUUUAGGGUUUUUGUAAAAGGGUUUAGGUUAAGGGUUUAGUGGGGUUUAUAUUGAGACGAAGGAUUUUUUUUGUAACAGCCCGAUUUUGGGUCUAGUCAGAACAGUGGUUUUGGGACCACAAAUCCGACGAGGAAAAAUGUAAUGACCUGAAUUUUUAGAGGUGUCGGAACGGUGAUUCGAGAUCACUAAAUUCGACAAAUGGGUAGAAAAUAUUAUUAAUUUAGUGAGUAUAAGUUAAAUGUGAAGUUAGGAAAAUUUUUGAAAUAGUGAAUAGUACACUAGAAAUAAAUAUUAGAAUCGAAAAUGAGGUAUCGAGACCUCGGGGAUUUUAAACCAAGCCAUAAAUAUUUUUAUAAAUAUUUAUGUAGUGAUAAAAAGUUAGUAUUAAAGUUUCGUUAAGAAAUUUUAAAGUUCCGAUAAUUAAUUGAACAAAAAGGACUAAAUUGUAACAAAUGAAAAAUUAUGGGAAAUGAUUAAAUAGCUUAAAUGAUAAAAGGAAGAGGGCUUAAAAGGUAAAUAGACCCAAGUUCUAUUUGGACUGGACGGCAAAGGCAUGAAAUCAGCAACAAAGUAAGGAGAAUUAAGGGCAAAAUUGAAAUAUUGCAAAAUUUACUUAAUAAAGUUAGGACCAAAGUGGAAUUAUCUAGAUUUCUCUUUAUUUUUCUGCAUUCUCAUCAGAAAAAACACCAUAGAAGGGUUUCCUUAAGCUGGUUCUUCCUAUUUUUACUGCAGGUAAGUUCAAUUCUUGAUUAUUUCUUGAAAAUUUUAUGUUUUUGUGACUUUUACAACUAGGCCCACUUGUUGAAUUCAUUAGUUUUUGAUUCUAUGAAAGAAUUUGAAAGUUUCUAUGAAUAUGUGCUGGAAUUAUAUGAUGAUUUAGCAUGGAAUUAGAGCUUUGAAUUGUUCAUAUGCUGAUUUUAUUGAAAGAAUUGAAUAGAAAGUGAAUGUUUGGAACCUAAUAGUAAAAGAGUUUGAAGAUAGAGUUAUAUGUGGAAAUUCUGAAUUUCAAUAGUUGUGUAACAACUUAUAAUGUAUAGGAAAAUUAUUAAUUGAGAAAAUUAGAUUAAUUGAGGGGUUAAUUGAGAAAGGACCGAAUUGUAUAAACUGUGAAAUUUGGGGCAAAAUGGAAAUCAACAUUUUGCACUAAAGCAGUUUUGGACAGCAGCAGUAGUCUAACUUUGAAAAAUCACCAAAAAUUGUGAGAAUUGAAUUAAAGGAUGAAUAAAAUAUGAAAUUAAAUCUUGUUGAGUCUAGUUUCUCAUAGAAGAAGCGGUGUAAGUAAUGGAAUUGUAAAUUUUGAGAUAUUUGAAGUUUAGUUAGACCAAGUUAGAAUGAGUUCGGAAUCCCCUGUUCUGAAUUUGGAAAAUUGUUAAAAAUUGUACAAAAAUAAUUAUGAGUUAUAGUUUAUAUUAUUAGAAUCCUUAAUAAGUCUAUUUUCAAAAUAAAUAAACGGAAACAUCAUCCAAAUUCUUUACAAUGAGAUAAUUAAUUUUUAGUGAAGAGAGGUCAGAACUGUCAGACAGCGAAACAGGGGAAACUUUAAAGAAUAAAAUGUACUAUUUGGCUAAACCAAAAAUUCUGAAAUUUUUAUGGUAAGAAUAUAUGUGAAUCUAGUUUGGGGGAAAUUUUAUGGAUCUUAAUUUGAAGUUCUGUAGCUCCAGGGAAAAAUAAUUUAGUGACUCUAACUCAGACGGACAGCUUGAAUUUUACAUACAAGAAAAUAGUGAAAGUACGAAUAAUGUUGUUUAAAUGUGUUAUACAGAUUAAGGAUGAGGAAUGGAGAGGAGGUGGAGGAAAAUUGAGAAAUAUAUGAAUGAUUUGUGUAUAAUUGGUCAUAUGUUUGAUUAUAACUGAUAAAUGAUGAAAUAUGAAUGAUGCUUAUAUUUGUGUAUUAUUAGUUAUGGUUUAAGCUCAUGUGUGAAAAUAAAAUUUCAUAGUAUGUGUGUAUGGUAUAUUCAGUAUAUGAUUUGGCAUGAAAAAAUGUCAUGAAUGGUUUAUCAUGUGGUUAGUUCCAAAAAGAGUUAUGUUUAAAUACACUAGCUUGCAACUAUGGUUGAAUGAUAUGUUUAUAUCUUGUGUGAUGUGCAUAGGAACAAGUGUGGAAAGAUAAUGAAAUAGUAAGUUCAUAUGGCUGAAAUUUAAUGAUUAAAUGUUAAUUUCAUGAAUUAUAUAAUGUAUGAUGAAAUAUAUAUUUAUUGUUGAAAUGAGAAUAGAAUAAAAAUGCGAAAACUGAAUAAAUGAUCAAAUUGAGCGGAACGCCUGAUUUGAGUACUUCUGAUCAAGUGACAAAGUGAUAAGUGGUAACUUUAGCUACACUUAUCUGAUCAAGUGACAAAGUGAUAAGUGGUAGCCUAGCUACACUUAUCUGAUCAAGUGACAAAGUGAUAAGUGGUAGCUUUAGCUACACUUAUCUGAUCAAGUGACAAAGUGAUAAGUGGUAGCCUAGCUACACUUAUCUGAUCAAGUGACAAAGUGAUAAGUGGUAGCCUAGCUACACUUAUCUGAUCAAGUGACAAAGUGAUAAGUGGUAGCUUUAGCUACACUUAUCUGAUCAAGUGACAAAGUGAUAAGUGGUAGCCUAGCUACACUUAUCUGAUCAGGGACAAGUGAUAAGUGAUCAUACGUAAGACCAUAGUUAUACUAUGGCCAAGAGGAAGUGAAGUACUCAAUUUUCCGUAACCGUUCCCUAAUUUGAUUAAGGAUGGUAAGUGACAAAUGGACCCAAAAGAAUUAAAGCAAAUGGAUAAGUGGUUGUGUAUUUAUAACAGGAUGAUGUUGUUAUUUAAGCUAAAGUGAUAUUUUUAUUGCAAAAUUGAGAAUUUCAUAAAUGUGUUAUUGAAUGGUAUAAUCGAUAAACAUUGAGAUAAAUGGUAAAUAUGUAUUAGUUUUGAACUUAAUGUCAUUGAAUUGUACGUGAAUUAAAUGGAAAUUGCUAGUGAUAUGAUUUAAAUUGUGAGCAUGAGAAAUUGCGAAUUGAAUGAAAUGGAAAUGAAACAUUGAAUUGCAUGAGUAUGUAUCGGGUCUCGUAGGCCCUAAUUAUUAUGAUUAUAAUAUUUUGAGGAUAUAUUGUGAAAAGUUAUAGAAGCAUGUUAAUUAUUUUGAAAGUUUUAAUUUAGAUAAAUUUUUAUAACUCAGUUUAAUACGUUUACAAGUGUAUGUGUUUUGGUAAUGCUUCGUACCUUAUUCCGGUGUUGGAUACGGGUAAUGGGUGUUGCAUUUUUGUUUUACAGUAAUUUUAGAAAAAUUAAUUUUGAGAAGACGUUUUUGAAAAGAUAAUGUCAAAAAUGCUUCAAGUAGGAUGCAUAGUCAGCAAAAUUACUGAAAAAAGCUUCCACCUGGACGCUCUUUGUCUACAGUAGUUCUUGAAAAAAUAAUUUUGACAAAAUGAUUUUGAAAAAAUAGUGUCAAAAACGCUUCAAACAGGAUGCACUGUCAGCAAAAUUACUGAAAAAGGAUUUCAUGUGGACGCUCUUUUUCUACAAUAGUUCCUAAAAAUAAAUUUGAGAAGAUAGUUCUGAAAAAAUAGUGUCAAAAACACUUCAAGUAGGAUGCACUGUCAGCAAAAUUACUGAAAAAAACUCCCACGUGGACGCUUUUUUUCUAUAGUAGUUUAUGAAAAAAUAAUUUUGAGAAGACGGUUCUGAAAAGAUAGUGUCUAAAACAUUUCAAGCAGGAUGCGUUGUCAGCAAAAUUACAGAAAAAAGCUCUCACGUGGACGCUCUUUUUGUACAGCAAUUCCUACUUGGCCUUAGGCUAUAAAUGAGCCAAAUUUCAUUAUCAUGUUGCAUAAGUUACAGCAAGAAAAAUUAGAGAGGUUAACCAGAACAAAAAUUGAAGAUUAAUGAACAUAUUAAUGCUAUUAUUUACUAUGAUGGUGAGGUCCGUGACUCAAAGAAUAGUAUUGUUUUUUAUCGGAGAACACAACACAACUGAUUUUUAACUAGACAUAGAUUUGACAGAACUUCGUAAAAGACUUAGGAGUAAAAUCUUCAGAACAACACCAAUGAGAGUUUCGUUUAUUAAGUAUCGAUUUUGUGCUUCGGUUGAUCCUGUGACAUAUGACUCAUUUGAUAUCAAAAGUGGUCGUAACUUGGAGGCAAUGAUGCAAACUCAUCUCGCUAGUAGAUCACCCUAUCUUGAGUUAGAUAUACAAUUUCCAUUACCAAAUGAAGCAUUUGGUACUUCAACAUCUACUGCUAUUCGAGAGGAAUACACGACCCCUACAUGACAUUCUGUUAAUAGGAGGUAGAACAUGGAAGAGCUCGGAUUUGAUGGCAGUAUGAAAUACACAACUCCUGCAUGACACUCGGUUAGUAGAUGGGACAUGCACCUCGGUGGGUCGAUGUUCGAUACUGGAAAUACAUACUAGAAAAUGACAUCAACUUCUAGUGGUUGGCAAUCCACAUCUGAUUGGGGACAUUACAAAAUGUCUACAAGAAGGGAUGAUGUACUCCCUAUGACGUCUACCAGUGAGGGGACCUUAUACAUUGCAGAUGAUGGUGGGCUGGAUGAUGAGUCUGAUGUGGAUCCACCUCGAGAGCGCAGCCUUAAUAGUGUAGAAGUUGUAUUAUUUUCUGAACCAGAGCCUGUUCGAAUCGAACUUGAAAAUGGUGAAGGGGGUUCAGAUGAAGAAGAAGAAAAUCUGCGAUUCAGGGCGUACUCGUCUCCAACCUACUUGCAUAAUAUCGAUCUAUCGGCAGAUGAUGCUUUAGAGUUUUCAGAUCUACCACACAGAAGGCGUGACUGUAUAAGUUCGUUACUGAAUUAGGGUGAACUGGAAGUGGGUAAAGAGUUUUCUAGUAAGGAUAGUUUUCUUGGUACAUUGAAACAACAUAGCAUCAUCAACGGGGUUAACUACCACGUGGUUAAAUCUAAAUCCGAGAAGUUCGAGGCCAAGUGUGCAGUGCAAGACAGUACACGUUCAUGGAAAAUCAUGGCUUCGAUUAGGAAAAAGACAGGCUUGUGGGAGAUAAAAAAGUACAAAGGUCCACAUGCCUGUGUUACCGGUACAAUAUCACUAGGUGUUUAAGGUUUUUGAAUAAUACUGUGAUUACUUAAUGUUGCAUUAUUUAACAUACUUCAUUGACAGGUGUUUCACAAGAUCACCCCAAUAUGGAUUUAGAUAUGACAGCUAGCUUAAUUCUACCGAUGGUUAAGGCAGAUCCCAGGACUUCUGUGUUGAUCUUAAUUGCCAAUAUUCGUAGCUAAUUGAGGUACAUGCCCUCUUAUCGCAAAGCUUGGAUAGCUAAGUAGAAGACGUUGGAAAAGAUGCAUAGUGGGUGGGAUACUUUGUAACAGCCCAAUUUUCAGUAGUAUCAGAACAGUGAUUUGAGAUCACUAAAUUCGAUGAAGAAGUUAGAAAUAUUUUUGAAUUAGUGAAUUUUGUGAUUUAAAAGAAAUUAUUAGGUAAAUUGGGUCAAAAACGAGGUAUCGAUACCUCGAUAUCAUAAACUGAGUCGUAAAUAUUUUUAUAAAUAUUUACAGAGUGUCAAUAGGAUAAUAUUAAAGUUUCGUUUCAGUAGUGUCAGAACAGUGAUUUGAGAUCACUAAAUUCGAUGAAGAAGUUAGAAAUAUUUUUGAAUUAGUGAAUUUUGUGGUUUAAAAGAAAUUAUUAGGUAAAUUGGGUCAAAAACGAGGUAUCGAGACCUCGAUAUCAUAAACUGAGCCGUAAAUAUUUUUAUAAAUAUUUACAGAGUGUCAAUAGGAUAAUAUUAAAGUUUCGUUAAGAAAUUUUAACGUUUCGAUAGUUAAUUAUGAAAAAGGAUUAAAUUGCAAUAGGGAUAAAAGUUUAAUUAUAGAUUAAAGAAAAGUUAAAAGGACCAAAUAGGCAAUUAUGCCUUUUUCCAAAGUUGAGGCGGCAUAAGUAUAAAAAUCUGAGAUUUUUAUGUGUUAAAAAAAUAUUAUAUUAUAGUAAUGAUUAUGUUUUUAUAUUAUAUUAUUAUUAAUAUAUUAUAUUAUAUUAUAUAUAUACAUAAAACAAAAGAAAGAAUAGAAAAAAAAGAAAGAAAAGAAACAGAAUAGAAGAGACGAAACAGAGAAAGAAACAGAGAGCAAAACGGGCAGAGAAGGAAGGAAAGAAAGAAAGAAAGAAAGAAAAAGAAAAAGGGAAAUUUAAGGUUUUAAGGUUCCAAGCUCAAUUGGUAAGUCAAAUUAAGUCUUUUUCUUAUAAUUUUUGAGUUUUUGGAAUCCUAGAGAUAAUACUACUUGAUUUAUGUUGAUAUUUUGAAAGUUAGUAGAUUGUUAGACAUGAGUUAUGUUGAAUUAAUUGAUGAACUAGAGGUUAAAAUGAUUGAAUUUUAAGUUAGAAGCUAGUAAAAGAUUGAUUUGUAAAAUAAAAUAUAAGUUUUGAAUUGAUAGGGCUUAAAUUGGAAAAAAAUACCAAUAUUCAUAAGAAUAUGUUAGAGUGUGAUUUUGAUAUUGCCAUAGAAGGGAAAAAUGAUCAGCAUGUCAUAAAACAUAAGAAAAUAGGAUGAAGUUUAAUUUACGAGCCUUGAGGCAAAAGUGCAAAUAUGUGAAAGUUUAGGGGUAAAAAUAUAAUUUUACAAAAGUUUGGGUCAAGGACUGUUUUAAUAAAUUUGAAUAUUAAAUAAGUUAAAUUUACUAUUUUAGAUCAAGAAGUACGAAACUCGAGGUUAGACAAAGGGAAGAAUAAAGUUGAAGACUAAGUUGGUAAAUUUGGCUAUAAUUGGUACCGAGGUAAGUUUACAGUAAAUAAAUGCAAUAUUCUUUUAUUUUACAUUAUUAUUGUCAAUUUCCAGCAUUUAUAUAUUUAUGUUAUGAAAAUAUUUAAAGUCGAAUUUAAGGUGAAGUGACAGAGGAAAAGUGUUAGAAAGCCCCGGUUGAACCCUAGGAAUGUUAGGAUAUUAGGGUUGACAGGACAGAACAGAAAUGAGCCAUGUAAGUCCAUAUUAGAAAUAUGGCUUUGGAGACAGGAUUGAGCCAUGUAAGUCCAUAUUAUAUAUGGCAUUGGAGACAGGAAUAAUUCAUGUAAGUCCAUGUCAAAGACAUGGCAUUGGCAGGGUAUUGAUAGACAAGAAUGACCCUAGUAUCCUUAGUAUUCCGAGUGGUUCAACGGGUCAGAAUACGAGUUAAAUUACAGUGAAUUAACAGCAAAGGAAAAGUAGAUUAUAUUUAUGAAAACGGAAAGGUCAGGUAAGAAAGAAGGUAAGGGAAUAAAGAAGAAGAUAGAAAUUGAGAAGUAAAGAAAUUUAUGAUGUUAGAUGAUAUUAUGCAUAAUUAUCCAUUAUGUUGAAUGUUGUGAUUUAUUUGCUUGUAAGCUUACUAAGCCUAGUGCUUAAUCUCUUUAUUUUCUUCUUCUUAUAGUACUUAUCUAGCCACUCGGGGAUCGAAGGAAACGUCGGAGGCCGAUCACACUAUCAAAGAAAUAACUCGGUAUAAUUAGACGUUUUGUUUUGUGUAUGGCAUGUAUAGGGAUUUAGUUAUUUUGUAUGUUUGUAGUGAUGAUUUUGCUAAUGAGUGAUGUGUAAGUAGUUGAUGAUGUAUGGUUAUUAAAAUGAUUAAGGAUGAAGGUGUUUGUUGUUAUGAAAGAUUAGGUGAUAAAUUAUGCAUGGAAAUCAUGAAAGGAUAAAAUUUUGCAAAGAAACAGAAUUCAGGCAGCACAGUGACGUGAAUUUGAAAAAUCACCCAAGAUAGUAUAAAAUGAAUUAGAGGGUGAAUGAUAUAUGGAAUUAAAGCUUGUUGAGUCUAUUUUCAUGGAAAAAUAACGGUGUAGAAAAAAAAGAAAUUUAUAUUUUAAUAUAUGUGAAUUUUAGUAAGAUAGGGUCAGAACUGUUUUUGGAGUCCCCUGUUCUGAGUUUAGAAAAUAAUUACAAAUUGUACAAAAAUGGUUAUGAGUUGAAAUUUACAUUCUUAGAUUCCUUAAUGAGUCUAUUUUCUAUAGAAACAAGUAAGAACUUCAUAUGAAAAUCCUAUAGUGAGAAAACUUAUUUUUAGUGACUAGAGGUCAGGGCAGUCUGGUGGUGACACAGGGGAGACUUUAACUAAUAAACUGUACUAAUUUGCUGAACCAAAAAUUCUAAAAAUUUUAUGGUGAGUAGAUAUAUGAGUCUAGUUUUAGGGAAAAUUUACGGGAUUAAAUUUCGAGUUCUGUAGCUCAAGUUAUAAUUAAUUUAGUAACUGCUGCGCGAUUAGACAGAUUUGCUGCGAAUAAUAAAAUAAAUUUUCAAACCUAGUUUUUAUGCUCCGAACUGGUAAGAUAAGCUAAGUAAUGCCUCGUGCUCAACUCCGGAAACGGUCUCGGGUAAGGGGUGUUACAUUUAUUGGUAUCAGAGCAGGUUUAGUCGGUUCUCGGAAUAGUUAGUGUGAGAAAAGUCUAGCUAUACAUGCCAUACUUUAUUUUGAUAGUGUGACGACUCCUGACGAUUUUAAAAUGUUUUCUUUUAUAGUUAUGGAUCCUGAACGAGCUAGUACAGAUGAAGUAGAGAGUAAUGCACCUAUUCCCGCAGAAGGGACGGUGCCAUCAGAUGUUAUAUCAGUCAUAUAUUUCCUAAGUGUUCUGUUUCGUCUACUGGGCCUCUGCUAAAAAAAAUGUUACAAGAUAAAAGAUUGUCUUUGAUUCAAUGAUGAAUGAUUAUAAAGGAAAAAUAAGUUACAAAGCUGUGAAUAAAGAAGUAUGUAUUUGUAAUAAAAUAAUUUAAAGUUGUGAAUAAGUAAAUGUUAUUUAGUUCUGUAUGGAGAUUUAAAAUAGUAAUCCUUAUAGAUAAGGAUGAAAAUAUACAUUUAUACACUUAAAAGAGUAACCUUGAUAAAUGAGAAAUGUUUUACUAAUAGACAAAAAUGUCUCCAAUUGAUCUAGUUCCGACAGUGAUGAAAGUGAUAUUUGAGUAUUUGAUAGAGAAAGG